RNAcentral lists this transfer RNA (73 nucleotides) under Nicotiana attenuata. It matches the Rfam family "tRNA". From Rfam's summary of the family: Transfer RNA (tRNA) molecules are approximately 80 nucleotides in length. Their secondary structure includes four short double-helical elements and three loops (D, anti-codon, and T loops). The record is from Rfam by way of RNAcentral. Lineage: Eukaryota; Viridiplantae; Streptophyta; Magnoliopsida; Solanales; Solanaceae.
GCUCUCGUAGCUCAGUUGGUUAGAGCACCGGCUUCAUAAGGAGAGAUCUUGAUUUCGCCUCUCAACGAGAGCU